CCUACGGGUGGCAGCAGUGGGGGAUAUUGCACAAUGGGGGAAACCCUGAUGCAGCGACGCCGCGUGGGUGAAGAAGCGCCUCGGCGCGUAAAGCCCUGUCAGCAGGGAAGAAAAUGACGGUACCUGAAGAAGAAGCCCCGGCGAACGACGUGCCAGCAGCCGCGGUAAUACGGAGGGGGCAAGCGUUAUCCGGAUUUACUGGGUGUAAGGGGGGCGCAGACGGCGAUGCAAGCCAGGCGUGAAAGCCCGGGGCCCCACCCCGGGACUGCUCUUGGAACUGCGUGGCUAGAGUGCAGGAGGGGCAGGCGGAAUUCCUGGGGUAGCGGUGAAAUGCGUAGAUAUCAGGAGGAACACCGGUGGCGAGGGCGGCCUGCUGGACUGCAACUGACGUUGAGGCCCGAAAGCGUGGGGAGCAAACAGGAUUAGAUACCCCUGUAGUC
RNAcentral lists this ribosomal RNA (440 nucleotides) under uncultured bacterium. RNAcentral's name for it is "partial 16S ribosomal RNA". It matches the Rfam family "Bacterial small subunit ribosomal RNA", at positions 338 to 795 of the family's 1533-position model. The record is from RNAcentral.